This 520-nucleotide ribosomal RNA is filed under the name uncultured Acaulospora. RNAcentral describes it as "SSU rRNA". It matches the Rfam family "Eukaryotic small subunit ribosomal RNA", at positions 569 to 1088 of the family's 1831-position model. The record is from RNAcentral. Lineage: Eukaryota; Fungi; Glomeromycota; Glomeromycetes; Diversisporales; Acaulosporaceae.
AGCAGCCGCGGUAAUUCCAGCUCCAAUAGCGUAUAUUAAAGUUGUUGCAGUUAAAAAGCUCGUAGUUGAAUUUCGGGGUUCAUCCGUUGGUCGGGCUUUUUGGUCUGUACUGGCGUGAUGGAUUCCUACCUUCUGAAUAACCGGCAUGCCAUUAAUUUGGUGCGCCGGGGAAGCAGGACUGUUACCUUGAAAAAAUUAGAGUGCUUAAAGCAGGCUUAUGCCUGAAUACAUUAGCAUGGAAUAAUGAAAUAGGACGGCAUGGUUCUAUUUUGUUGGUUUCUAGGAUCACCGUAAUGAUUAAUAGGGAUAGUUGGGGGCAUUAGUAUUCAAUUGUCAGAGGUGAAAUUCUUGGAUUUAUUGAAGACUAACUUCUGCGAAAGCAUUUGCCAAGGAUGUUUUCAUUAAUCAAGAACGAAAGUUGGGGGAUCGAAGACGAUCAGAUACCGUCGUAGUCUUAACCAUAAACUAUGCCGACUAGGGAUCGGACGAUGUUAAUUUUUUAAUGACUCGUGCGGCGCCU